Molecule: RNase P RNA, 417 nt
Filed under: Chloroflexota bacterium
Lineage: Bacteria; Bacillati; Chloroflexota
Description: Chloroflexi bacterium (anaerobic digester metagenome) RNase P RNA component class A
Rfam family: Bacterial RNase P class A
About the family: Ribonuclease P (RNase P) is a ubiquitous endoribonuclease, found in archaea, bacteria and eukarya as well as chloroplasts and mitochondria. Its best characterised activity is the generation of mature 5'-ends of tRNAs by cleaving the 5'-leader elements of precursor-tRNAs. Cellular RNase Ps are ribonucleoproteins.
Source: RNAcentral
CAGGCCGGUCGGGUGAUCGCGGUGCCGCUGCUGGCGGCAUCGAGGAAAGUCCGCACUCCAUAGGGCAAGAUGCCGGGUAACGCCCGGGGCAGGCAACUGCCGGACAGGGCCACAGAAACAGACCGCCCCUGCGGGGGCAAGGGUGAAAAGGUGGUGUAAGAGACCACCGGCGACCGCAGUAAUGCGGCGGCCAGGCAACCCCCAUCUGGAGCAAGGCCAAGCAGAGGCAAGGCCCGCCGCAGGGCGGGCGGGAGGCGGCUCGUCUCCUUGUUCUCCCCCGUGGAGGACAUUAGCCUUGGGUAGGCCGCACGAGCGGGCCGGUGACGGCCCGCCUAGAGAGAUGAUCGCCCGGAAAGGGAUCGUCCCUGGUGGACGCCCCCUUUUUGACAGAAUGCGGCUUAUAGACCGGCCUGGGCU